Long non-coding RNA from Orcinus orca (killer whale), 4876 nucleotides. RefSeq lists it as uncharacterized. NCBI's taxonomy places the organism in Eukaryota, Metazoa, Chordata, Mammalia, Artiodactyla, Delphinidae. The record is from RefSeq and is a predicted model, not a curated record. The transcript has 2 exons.
CCCCGCCUCCUCUCGCGAGACUCCAGACCCACGCUCCUGAGUCGCGUUUUUCGAAGCCCUAGCGGAGGCGGUGGGUUGCUCCCCCGGGUGUCUCCAACGCGUUACCGGCACCUUCCACUGAGUCUAGCUACUCAAAUAAAUACGAAAUAGGGCUGCUAUGAGGGAUGAGUAGGCCUAAACUCAGUCCUCCGCUGCGCGGGCCUGGAAACCGCUCUCCCGAAGGCCGAGGGGCGAAGGGAGCGGAGCCGAAGUGACUCAGGGCCGAUCCGAGGGUCGGGGCCCAGUGAGGACUUGGGAGCCCCCCGGAUUACUGUUUCCCAGACUCGAUUCGCGAUCUCGCCGAGGGGGCAGAAAAUAUUUAAGUGCUGACAGCUUUUCGUUGUCGUUGUUACACUAGAGACAAAUAGAAGACUAUGUGGAGAGUGGCUUGUGUAUGCGUCCUGGGCAGAGAAACUUCUUGGACUGGGUUAAUAUUAACUUAGAGGCUCAGAAAGGACACUGAUUCCCUUGGGCAAAGUGCUGGUGCUGGCCAAAGGCCCUUCCCUCUGACCCUCUCCUGAGAAGCAGAGCUGCUGACAAGCCACAGCGUGCCAUCAUGUACUCGGUUCCUACCCUGAAGGCUUUGGAGGCCAAUAUAGUUGUUGGAAAGUAUUGUGCCUAUGAAAGUCUUCACGAUUUUAAGGAUCAAUACAUUUGCUGCUCUUACAACUAACUAAUCCUGGUAGAAUAGGCUAGAGCUGUGAUACUGAUCUUUAAAAAGUAUUUUGGUCACCACAUGAAACCGUAGAGAUUCGCAACAAAAAACCUCAUAGUGCAUGCAACCCCUUAGCCACGUUGACUUAACGACAUUGUGUGGUCACUGUUAGGUUAGGUAACAUAGUAAACUGGAAGAACCAUUGUUCAGUCCCAAAGGUGUGAUUAUCCAGUAAGUAUUUAUGUCUUUGGCCAUGUUAGGAGAGCAGAACAGUGUAUGGUCCUUAGCUUAAAUUUAAUAGGCAUAUAGGAUGUGCAUGUAGGUUCUGACAAGUUAGACUACAUAGCCAAAACCUGCACAUUUUUAGAGAAUCUUGUGUUUUAUGUAAAACGCUCCCAAGGAAAAAGAAUACUGUGGCUUUUAAGAUCUGUAGGUGCUCCUCUAAAGACUAUGUCGGUUAAUGUGCCUACUUUAUACCUUUUAAACUUACUUUGGAUGACGGUUGGUAAAGGACAUUGAAAAUGACAAGUUCAAUAUAUAGGUGCUAACUUUAAUAACUUUCAUUACUGAGUACACAAUGGGUACUAGCAAAGAAAGAGUAUUCACCCUGGGGGUUUAAAUCUAAGUUAGAAAAGGCAUUAAAACGCAGAUAUAAAACGUAACAAAACGAGGAGACCAGAACAGUCUCUUUCCAUCUGAGAUUACUUUCCCUGAUUUGGAUUUGAGCACACUGCUUAGUAUCUUUGGACAAUGUUUCACAUACUAUAGGUAUUUAAUAAGUACUUAUUGUAAGGUUAAAAAGCUAAUUUUGCUUGAUAAAUUGCUCUUUCUCAAGGAGGUAGCCUGGGCGCUACAACUGUGAUAAAACCAACAUUUGAGGGGAAAAUGCUUAGAAAAUUACUUCCCUGUAAAACAGUUUUUAGACGUUUUAACUAUGUAUCUUCAUUUUAGAGCAGGCACUCUUUUUCGCUAUUGGUCUAUUUUCAACUAAGCAAAUAUAAUAUUUAGUGCUGCAGCAAAUAUUUCAUGACUAAGUAUCUGCCUCAGAGAGCUUACCUUUAAUUAACAAAAUAAAUGAUUGCAUAAAAAAGCCAGGGGCUUCCCUGGUGGCGCAGUGGUUGAGAGUCUGCCUGCCGAUGCAGGGGACACGGGUUCGUGCCCCGCUCCGGGAAGAUCCCACAUGCCGCUGAGCCUGCGCGUCCGGAGCCUGUGCUCCGCAACGGGAGAGGGCACAACAGUGAGAGGCCUGCGUACCGCAAAAAAAAAAAAAAAAGCCAGUUGUUGCCUUUUUUAAAUUUCGAUAUUGGCAAUGUGAAGGGCAAGGGUAAAGAAUUUUAAAGGCCAAGAAAGAGUGGGCAAUCAACAGCAGAAGAUAUUUUGCUGGUACCUCGUAAAGAACAGUUGGUGUGAUGGAGAUGUGGUAAAUUAUCAGCAAAAUACCAUUCUUUUUCUUCUCUGGGAGGUCAACAAUGUGUGAGAAGCCAAGCACAAAACUCCGACAUAAAUGAGAUAUGACUAGUCUCCAAGCUACCUGAGUUUAAAAGAAAAGAAGAAUAUUGAUUUGAAAAAAAAAAAAAAAAAAAAAGAAUAUUGAUUUGUUCCUUAUACUCCUAUCUUCAUAGACUAUACACAAAUUCCUAGGGAGCAAAGUAUGUUUUUGUAUAAUUUAUACAACCUAUUGGACAAGGUGCUCAAUAAAAAUUGUCAUUUUCUGAACACAAAGCUAUUAAUAUAUAUGUGGUAGACAUCCCCAGUUUCUAAUUGUGUAAAAUUAAAGGCAUGGGAAUGAGUCACUUACUGAAGGUCAUAGGAUAAGGUCCUAGACUGGAUUAUAUUCUUCCUUUCUUCUCUUUCCCCCUCGCUUCUCUGUCCUCAAAAUUGACAGCUGAAAAUUCAUUAGAAUACAUACUGUUGUUUUCACUGUAAUAACCACAUUGUUUUAUGUGGUAGCAAAAUCAACAGCAGGAUGUUAUUUAAAUUGCCACAGUUGUCCAGAUCUGAGUAUCUGUGAAUUGGGUUUUCUUUUUCAUGACCUGACAGUGGGAAGUUGUGUUCUAUCUGUCAAAAACAGAGGUACAUUUUCCCCACUAAACAAAUUUUAAAGGAAAAAUAAGAUCCACAAGUUAAAAUGUAAGCUCCUUGAGGGCUGGAUCUUAUUUUCUUUUGUCUCCCCCGGGACCUAUAUCUGGCCUACUGGAACUCAGUAAAUCUUUAUUGAAUGAUCUCUUUCUCUUCUAUAAAAUCAAGUCAGAAUGGUCUUUUUUUUCCUUAUUAAUUUCUGUUUCUAUUAAUGCAAUUUCAUUAGCUUUCUCUUACAUGACUUCCCUAACUGGAGGUGGAAUAAACACACAGUACAUUUCAUUCUUAGUUGUGAUUCAAUGUCUGUAACUGGGAGACAAACUUACUGAGAGAUAUUUAAGACCUAGGACAAGAAGCAGCAGACCAAUUAGACACAUGCUCAUUGUCAUCAAAUACUUUAAAUUACUACUUUUUUAAUGAGAGGACAAUAUGGUUAGAGCCUCUCAGCCUCCUAUGAAUGCUUUGAACAGGUAAGUUGUAGGAUAUUAGCACUGUGACAUAGCAGGAAAACCAAUCACCUUUCCUAGUCAUGCUUAAUUUACACACUAUAAUCUUAUUGAUUAAAUUUCAAGGUUUUUUUUUUCAGUCUUUAUUGAAUUCGUUACAAUAUUGCUUCUGUUUUACAUUUUUGGUUUUUUGGCCCUGAGGCAUGUGGGAUCCUAACUCCCUGACCAGGGACUGAACCCACACCCACUGCAUUGAAAUUCGAAGGCUUAACCAUCGGACUGCCAGGGAAGUCCCUCAAGUUUUCCUUUUUUUUUUGCCGUACGCGGGCCUCUCACUGUUGUGGCCUCUCCCGUUGCAGAGCACAGGCUCCGGACGCGCAGGCCCAGCGGCCAUGGCUCACGGGCCCAGCUGCUCCGCUGCAUGUGGGAUCUUCCCGGACCGGGGCACGAACCCGUGUCCCCUGCAUCGGCAGGCAGACUCUCAACCACUGUGCCACCAGGGAAGCCCCAAGUCUUCCUUUUUAAUUGAAAAUAAAAUCUGACUUUUGUUUUUAUAGCUAUAUAACUGUUCAAAAGACUGAUUUUUUUAGGGGGAAACUUCUUUUAAUAAUAGAUUACCUCCAAAUAUAACUGAUUGUAGUUAGCAAGGAUGAAAUGCCACAUAAAUACCAAAUUAGCCAUCAUCAAUAUAACAAAUUGAAGUAAACUAAUUAGUAUAAUAGUCAUAUUUGCUGUUUACCCCCACCCUUACCAGCAUAUGCCCCUCUAGUCCGUAGACACACAAACACUAACUCCUCGUCCCAUCCAUCAGCUCUAGCUCAAAAAAUACCAUCUGUGGGGAAAACUUUCUUGACUCUACUGUGAAGUCAAUUCUUGAUUUGACACUCUUGGCAACCUAUACUUCAUGACUUAACAUAGUUUAUAACAGUUGUUUAAUGUGUUUCCCCCAUUAGAUUGCAGGAUCCAAGAUAUCAGGAAAUUUUUGCUUAUCAUCCCUAGCAGAAAGUAGGCUAAAAAAAUGACUAGUUUUGCCUUGAGGCAACAGCUUUGUCUCAAGGCAAAACUAUUGUCUCAUUAAUUAUGAAGUAUAUAAACCACAACAAAUAAUUCCAUCUAUUCUAUGGAGGAUUUAACUGUUUUCUGACUUUAUAAGUAUUUGAUUUUAAACAUUUGCUUUCUUAUACUGAGGUUUCUUAAAGACUAAAAUUGAGCAGUAGUGUUGACAGUUCCACAACUGAGAUUUUAAUGUAAAUGUUAUAAAAUACAUACAAUAAAAAAUACAGAAUAAUAGGUGAUAUAAGAUGGAAAGUAGGGGCUUCCCUGGGGGCGCAGUGGUUAGGAAUCUGCCUGCCAAUGCAGGGGACACGGGUUCAAGCCCUGGUCCAGAAAGAUCCCACAGGCCACGGAGCAACUAAGCCCGUGCACCACAACUACUGAGCCUGCGCUCUAGAGCCCGCGUGCUACAACUACUGAGCCCGUGAGCCACACAACUACUGAAGCCUGUGCGCCUAGAGCCCGUGCUCCGCAACAAGGGAAGCCACCGCAGUGAGAAGCCCGUGCACCGCAACGAAGAGUAGCCCCCGCUCACCACAACUAGAGAAAGCCCGUGUGCAACAAUGAAGACCCAACACAGCCCAAAAUAAAAUAAAUAAAUUUA